RNAcentral lists this transfer RNA (69 nucleotides) under Ictidomys tridecemlineatus (thirteen-lined ground squirrel). RNAcentral describes it as "Spermophilus tridecemlineatus (thirteen-lined ground squirrel) tRNA". It matches the Rfam family "tRNA". Rfam says of the family: Transfer RNA (tRNA) molecules are approximately 80 nucleotides in length. Their secondary structure includes four short double-helical elements and three loops (D, anti-codon, and T loops). Lineage: Eukaryota; Metazoa; Chordata; Mammalia; Rodentia; Sciuridae. The record is from Rfam by way of RNAcentral.
GGAGUUGUAGCUCAGUGGAAGAGCGCUUGCCUGGAAUGUGUGAGACACUGGGUUCAAUUCACAGCACCA